This 557-nucleotide long non-coding RNA is filed under the name Equus caballus (horse). RNAcentral's name for it is "lncRNA (ENSECAG00000052887.1)". The record is from RNAcentral. Lineage: Eukaryota; Metazoa; Chordata; Mammalia; Perissodactyla; Equidae.
AAAGUUGUCUUCUGACUAUAAUAAAAACAACAACAAAAAGGAUAUUACAUAGCGACUGAAAGAAGACACGAGUCAUUGUGUUGGAGGGGUGUGAAUUAUUUUAAAUAAUUCAUAUGAAAUAAUACAGAGAGACUUCGAAAUCAGAUUGAGCAUGUUGCAGCACACUCCACUGAUCCUUUGAAAUGACUUCUUUCCGUGUCUUUUUAAGCCUGUUAAAUCCUUUCACAGAAUUGUGAGAGGUUGUCUGGAAAACGGAAAAUGUUCGAGAUGAGUUAAAGGACCCUGGGGACCAGAAUCUGAAGUGGAGAGACACCCAGAAGAAAGAUAUUUGGAGUUGAUGAAUUCUGAUGGUGGUACACCUGAUCCCCAAAGCUACAGUCUUUCCAUUCCUUCCAGAGGCUUAGUAAUUUGCUUUUCUUUUGAUAUUUUGAGACACCUAGGUCCUUAUGAUAAAUUCCUUCAUUUGUGCAAGUUGGCUAGAGUGGGUUCCUGUGGCUGUUACACCCACUCUAGUAAAUUAUCUAAAUAGUCAGUUGAUAGCAUCCUCUGGUCCCUCU